GGCGCUAUCUGCAGCUGACGGUAGAAUUCCUUCGGGGAUUUGAGAGUAGCGUACGGGUGCGUAACGCGUAUGCAACCUACCUCAUACUGGGAGAUAGCCCGUGGAAACGCGGAUUAAUACCCCAUGGUAAGCGAGAGUGGCAUCACUUCUUUCUUUAAAGAUUUAUCGGUAUGAGAUGGGCAUGCGUCUGAUUAGCUAGUUGGUAGUGUAACGGACUACCAAGGCAACGAUCAGUAGGGGGUCUGAGAGGAUGAUCCCCCACACUGGCACUGAGACACGGGCCAGACUCCUACGGGAGGCAGCAGUAGGGAAUAUUGGUCAAUGGGUGAGAGCCUGAACCAGCCAUGCCGCGUGCAGGAUGACGGCCUUCUGGGUUGUAAACUGCUUUUCUCUGGGAAGAAAAAGGUUCUGCGGAACAAACUGCCGGUACCAGAGGAAUAAGCACCGGCUAACUACGUGCCAGCUGCCG
RNAcentral lists this ribosomal RNA (469 nucleotides) under Cesiribacter sp. M128SB352Ax. Its description in RNAcentral is "bacterial SSU rRNA". It matches the Rfam family "Bacterial small subunit ribosomal RNA", at positions 45 to 517 of the family's 1533-position model. Lineage: Bacteria; Pseudomonadati; Bacteroidota; Cytophagia; Cytophagales; Cesiribacteraceae. The record is from RNAcentral.